This 184-nucleotide ribosomal RNA is filed under the name Hydrilla verticillata (hydrilla). RNAcentral's name for it is "partial its2". Lineage: Eukaryota; Viridiplantae; Streptophyta; Magnoliopsida; Alismatales; Hydrocharitaceae. The record is from RNAcentral.
UUCCUGGGCGUCUAUUGUACCAUCGUUGCCCCCCCCCAGUUACGUGCGGCGGCAGCGGAAUAUGGCCUUCCGCGCUUUGACGCGGUGGCCGAAUGUCGUUUUAGGGGCCGUGCCUUCCGCGUCCAUGCCUGGUGGUGAGUAUUCCAUUCGGCCCCUCAAAGUCGUGACGUGGGAGCCCCCUGCU